This 88-nucleotide transfer RNA is filed under the name Clostridia bacterium. Its description in RNAcentral is "tRNA-Ser". It matches the Rfam family "tRNA". From Rfam's summary of the family: Transfer RNA (tRNA) molecules are approximately 80 nucleotides in length. Their secondary structure includes four short double-helical elements and three loops (D, anti-codon, and T loops). The record is from RNAcentral. Lineage: Bacteria; Bacillati; Bacillota; Clostridia.
GGAGAGGUGUCUGAGUGGUCUAUGGUGCACGCUUGGAAAGCGUGUGAGGGUAACACCUCCGCAGGUUCGAAUCCUGUCCUCUCCGCCA